GCAGUCGAGCGACGGACGAGAAGCUUGCUUCUCUGAUGUUAGCGGCGGACGGGUGAGUAACACGUGGAUAACCUACCUAUAAGACUGGGAUAACUUCGGGAAACCGGAGCUAAUACCGGAUAAUAUUUUGAACCGCAUGGUUCAAAAGUGAAAGACGGUCUUGCUGUCACUUAUAGAUGGAUCCGCGCUGCAUUAGCUAGUUGGUAAGGUAACGGCUUACCAAGGCAACGAUGCAUAGCCGACCUGAGAGGGUGAUCGGCCACACUGGAACUGAGACACGGUCCAGACUCCUACGGGAGGCAGCAGUAGGGAAUCUUCCGCAAUGGGCGAAAGCCUGACGGAGCAACGCCGCGUGAGUGAUGAAGGUCUUCGGAUCGUAAAACUCUGUUAUUAGGGAAGAACAUAUGUGUAAGUAACUGUGCACAUCUU
Molecule: ribosomal RNA, 429 nt
Filed under: Staphylococcus aureus
Lineage: Bacteria; Bacillati; Bacillota; Bacilli; Caryophanales; Staphylococcaceae
Description: bacterial SSU rRNA
Rfam family: Bacterial small subunit ribosomal RNA
Source: RNAcentral